GUUCCGAUUGCGGUUUUUGGAUUGUACCACGCUGGUGCUUUUUUUGGAUUUGCACAUCAGUUCUUCUAACGUGCGCCAGGUAGCAUCAUAGAUAGAGUAUUUAUUUAUUUUAUUUAUUUCUUAAAUUCCUACUCCUGUCUUGUUCAAUGUGUCGGCGUUGAACGGUGUCGUUAGUUACGUGUUCUAGAAAAUGGAAAGAAGAAAGAAAAUCAAAAGAGUUUGCAUUUGAGUUCAUAACUUCAUAUAUAGAUUGGUGGGGGACCUACUCUAUUUUCUUUUAUUAAUAUAUUCAUUCAGGUGGUACAGCAAAAGCUUGGGAAUUGGGAUGACACAUAAAUAACACUUUACAACCAUGCAAGUUGUUUUCAACUAAUUAUUAGUUGGCUUUUAAAUUUUUAGUUAAUAUUUUAAUAAAUGAAUCUAUUUAAUCUUGAUAUAUGUUAAUCCAUUUACUCUAACAUGUAAUGGUCUAUGUUUACUGAUUUAUAUAAGGACUAAACUUAGGUACAAUAUCUAUAUAAGGUUAUUAUUUCAUCUCAGUAUCCAUGUAACUAACACUGUUAACUCACAUUUAACUUUUUUUUGUUGUUUCACAUUCCUUUUCUCUUCUUUAUUCAUUUCUCACCGCUAUCAUAUUCCUCUGCCAUUUGCUUUUCUUCGAACGGUUCUUCCAUCCCAUGAAGAGCUCCUAAUUCAAAAUCUCUCAUCUUUCUUUCUCAUAUAAAUCAUGAUGAUGUUUGGAUUCCCUUUUGAAUAACAGAUUUGUGAUGGGGUUUAGAGAUGUAUGAGAUUCAUGAGUUUCUUCUCAUUACAAUUUUUGACCUCAAAAUUUAUGUUGUUAUUCUACUCUUUUUGGAAUAGAUUUUGCUCAUUGUUUUUAUUAAAACUUCAGCACUACAUUUCCAUAUACUGUUAUUUGAUUCUUUGGUGUUUUCUUUUUUUGGGUUAUUUGUUUUAAUCAUUUCUCUUGUCAUUUUAUCAGUGGUAUCAUAUGACAAACCAAGAAGAGGAAUAUGAAUUGAGGAAUGCGAGAAACAAACACUCCAUAAAAUAUGAUAGUACUGAGAAUUGAAGAAUAAAGAAGAGAAGAGGAAUGUGAAACAACAAAAAUGAGUUAAAUGUGACUUCACAGUGUUAGUUAGGUUGAUGUUGAGAUGAAAAAAUAUUUACACGUGUCCAAAUAUGACUCAUCACCAGCA
Molecule: long non-coding RNA, 1199 nt
Filed under: Lupinus angustifolius (narrow-leaved blue lupine)
Lineage: Eukaryota; Viridiplantae; Streptophyta; Magnoliopsida; Fabales; Fabaceae
Description: long non-coding RNA (LANG_LNC003531)
Source: RNAcentral